This is a long non-coding RNA of Helianthus annuus (common sunflower), 1381 nucleotides long. RefSeq lists it as uncharacterized. The record is from RefSeq and is a predicted model, not a curated record. Lineage: Eukaryota; Viridiplantae; Streptophyta; Magnoliopsida; Asterales; Asteraceae. The transcript is spliced from 3 exons.
CGCCCCUUCAUUUGAUUCUAACAUCGUGUGCAACACAGGAGGGUCUUUUAUAUACCUUCCCUGUUUCAGGUGAGUUUAAUAUGAAUGAGAUAACCACAGCUGGAGGAGAGAUUCAGUUGAUUGAUCUUUCUAAUCUGUUGCACUUGUUCUUCACAUCAGUUGCGUGCUUGGGUUCGAACCACCACUUUUCCCCAUAAUCACGGCCCCAAAAAGCAAUUUAUACCUCCGUUUUAGUUGCUGUUUUCAUUUCAGUCGUUGCCUCCUUUGUGGGUUUUUUCCGUAGAUGUGAAAUUAGGGACGUAUGUUGCGCUGUUGUACGUUUAUUAGUUUUGCUUUCGCUUGUUUUGGAAGAGAUUUUGGCUAUUGACUUUACAUGCAUACCAGCUUACAGAUUGGGAGGAAUGACAUUUGAGAAAAUAUUAAAGACUCGAAUCAAGUCAAGCCACAGGUAGAGCCGAGGUUGACUUGAAAUUGUCAACCAAAGAGCAUGAAGACUCAAUUUCAGAAGAGGCUCAGAUUGUAGAGGUUAAACCAGGAGCUGUUUGUGUGUAUACGGAUGCAGAUGGGAAAAACGGUUAAGUCAUCAGUCAACAUCCGAUCAAAAACAGGGUACUCUGUUUUGGUCAUCCGUAUAAUCAUAUUUACAGGUUGUCGCUAACGGGUUUAAGGUUCUUUACGUUUUAUGGUCCGUGGGGUAGACCGGACAUGGCUUACUUUUUCUUCACUAAAGAUAUCUUGAAAGGAAAACCGAUUCCCAUUUUUGAGUCCAGUAAUCAUGGGAUCGUUGCGCGUGAUUUUACGUAUAUUGAUGAUAUUGUAAAGCGUUGUUUAGGUGCGUUAGACACUGCUAAAAAGAGUACAGGAAGUGGUGGGAAGAAAAAAGGGGCUGCACAGUUUAGAAUUUUUAGUUUAGGGAAUACUAUGGCUGUGCAUGUUUCCGAUCUUGUAAGUAUUUUGGAGAAGUUGUUGAAAGUGAAAGCGAAAUGGUGAUGUCCCGUUUACUCGUGUGAAUAUUAGUUUGGCGCAAAGGGAGUUUGGGUAUGAACCAACGACGGAUCUUCAAAUGGGGUUGAAUAAGUUUGUUAGAUGGUAUGAGAAGUAUUAUGGUUCGGGGAAUAAAGGUGAUCAUUGAGGCAAAAAGUGGUAAACUUGUUCUUGAGUUCUUAUUCGUUUUGAUAUACUCAAAAUGAUUCUUUUGUUAAUUUUGCACUUUUUGAAAACAACUUACAUUGUUUUCAACUGUUGGUAUAUGAUGUUGCAUCAAGUUAGGAGGAAAGAGGGAUCUCAAACUCGUGCAAAUGUAAUUUUUAUGUAGCAUUAUUAUUGUAGGAUUGUUGACUAACAAAGCAAGUUUAUGUGGUUGGACUUGUAUGGUUUCUAA